UACGUAGGGCGCAAGCGUUGUCCGGAAUUACUGGGCGUAAAGCGUGCGCAGGCGGUUCUAUAAGACAGAUGUGAAAUCCCCAGGCUUAACCUGGGAACUGCAUUCGAGACUGCAUUGCUAGAGUAUGGGAGAGGGAAGUGGAAUUUCCGGUGUAGCGGUGAAAUGCGUAGAUAUCGGAAGGAACAUCAGUGGCGAAAGCGACUUCCUGGACCAAUACUGACGCUCAUGUGCGAAAGCGUGGGGAGCAAACAGG
RNAcentral lists this ribosomal RNA (253 nucleotides) under uncultured bacterium. RNAcentral describes it as "partial 16S ribosomal RNA". It matches the Rfam family "Bacterial small subunit ribosomal RNA", at positions 524 to 776 of the family's 1533-position model. The record is from RNAcentral.